This 392-nucleotide ribosomal RNA is filed under the name uncultured bacterium. RNAcentral's name for it is "bacterial SSU rRNA". It matches the Rfam family "Bacterial small subunit ribosomal RNA", at positions 28 to 424 of the family's 1533-position model. The record is from RNAcentral.
GACGAACGCUGGCGGCGUGCUUAACACAUGCAAGUCGAGCGGUAAGGCCCUUUCGGGGGUACACGAGCGGCGAACGGGUGAGUAACACGUGGGUGACCUGCCCUCAGCUCUGGGAUAAGCCUGGGAAACUGGGUCUAAUACUGGAUAUGACUCCACGGUGCAUGUCGUGGGGUGGAAAGCCUUGUGCGGCUGAGGAUGGGCCCGCGGCCUAUCAGCUUGUUGGUGGGGUGAGGCCUACCAAGGCGACGACGGGUAGCCGGCCUGAGAGGGCGACCGGCCACACUGGGACUGAGACACGGCCCAGACUCCUACGGGAGGCAGCAGUGGGGAAUCUUGCGCAAUGGGCGAAAGCCUGACGCAGCGACGCCGCGUGAGGGAUGACGGCCUCGGUU